AGGGUGGGGAGGGGGUUUCCACCCACAAAAGAAAGACUAUAUAAACCCCUGGAAACCCCUCCAUUUUGUCUUCAGCUGGCUCAGAAGGUAGCCUCU
Molecule: non-coding RNA, 96 nt
Organism: Chelonoidis abingdonii (Abingdon island giant tortoise)
Lineage: Eukaryota; Metazoa; Chordata; Testudines; Testudinidae
Source: RefSeq, a predicted model, not a curated record